This 484-nucleotide ribosomal RNA is filed under the name uncultured bacterium. RNAcentral's name for it is "partial 16S ribosomal RNA". It matches the Rfam family "Bacterial small subunit ribosomal RNA", at positions 30 to 507 of the family's 1533-position model. The record is from RNAcentral.
AUUGAACGCUGGCGGCAGGCCUAACACAUGCAAGUCGAGCGGAUGAAGGGAGCUUGCUUCUGGAUUCAGCGGCGGACGGGUGAGUAAUGCCUAGGAAUCUGCCUGGUAGUGGGGGAUAACGUCCGGAAACGGGCGCUAAUACCGCAUACGUCCUGAGGGAGAAAGUGGGGGAUCUUCGGACCUCACGCUAUCAGAUGAGCCUAGGUCGGAUUAGCUAGUUGGUGGGGUAAGGGCUUACCAAGGCGACGAUCCGUAACUGGUCUGAGAGGAUGAUCAGUCACACUGGAACUGAGACACGGUCCAGACUCCUACGGGAGGCAGCAGUGGGGAAUAUUGGACAAUGGGCGAAAGCCUGAUCCAGCCAUGCCGCGUGUGUGAAGAAGGUCUUCGGAUUGUAAAGCACUUUAAGUUGGGAGGAAGGGCAGUAAGUUAAUACCUUGCUGUUUUGACGUUACCAACAGAAUAAGCACCGGCUAACUUCGUG